This 494-nucleotide ribosomal RNA is filed under the name Veillonella parvula. RNAcentral's name for it is "bacterial SSU rRNA". It matches the Rfam family "Bacterial small subunit ribosomal RNA", at positions 28 to 493 of the family's 1533-position model. The record is from RNAcentral. Lineage: Bacteria; Bacillati; Bacillota; Negativicutes; Veillonellales; Veillonellaceae.
GACGAACGCUGGCGGCGUGCUUAACACAUGCAAGUCGAACGAAGAGCGAUGGAAGCUUGCUUCUAUCAAUCUUAGUGGCGAACGGGUGAGUAACGCGUAAUCAACCUGCCCUUCAGAGGGGGACAACAGUUGGAAACGACUGCUAAUACCGCAUACGAUCUAACCUCGGCAUCGAGGAAGGAUGAAAGGUGGCCUCUAUGUAUAAGCUAUCACUGAAGGAGGGGAUUGCGUCUGAUUAGCUAGUUGGAGGGGUAACGGCCCACCAAGGCGAUGAUCAGUAGCUGGUCUGAGAGGAUGAACGGCCACAUUGGGACUGAGACACGGCCCAGACUCCUACGGGAGGCAGCAGUGGGGAAUCUUCCGCAAUGGACGAAAGUCUGACGGAGCAACGCCGCGUGAGUGAUGACCGGCUUCGGGUUGUAAAGCUCUGUUAAUCGGGACGAAAGGCCUCUUGCGAAUAGUUAGAAGGAUUAACGUACCGGAAUAGAAACACG